UAGAGCGGCGCACGGGUGAGUAACGCGUGGAUGAUCUACCCAGAUGAUUGGGAUAACAGUUGGAAACGACUGCUAAUACCGAAUACGCUCCCAUUUCGAACUGGGGGGAAAGGUGGCCUCUUCAUGAAAGCUACCGCAUCUGGAUGAGUCCGCGUCCCAUUAGCUUGUUGGUGGGGUAAAGGCCUACCAAGGCAACGAUGGGUAGCUGGUCUGAGAGGAUGAUCAGCCACACUGGGACUGGAACACGGCCCAGACUCCUACGGGAGGCAGCAGUGGGGAAUAUUGCGCAAUGGGGGAAACCCUGACGCAGCGACGCCACGUGGGGGAUGAAGGCCUUCGGGUCGUAAACCUCUGUCAGAAGGGAAGAAACGCGCCAUUUCAAAUAGGCUUGGCGUUUGACGGUACCUUCAAAGGAAGCACCGGCUAACUCCGUGCCAGCAGCCGCGGUAAUACGGAGGGUGCGAGCGUUAAUCGGAAUCACUGGGCGUAAAGCGUACGUAGGCGGCGUGUCAAGUCAGGUGUGAAAGCCCUCGGCUCAACCGGGGAAUUGCACUUGAAACUGAUAUGCUAGAGUUCUGGAGGGGGUAGCGGAAUUCCCGGUGUAGGAGUGAAAUCCGUAGAUAUCGGGAGGAACACCAGUGGCGAAGGCGGCUACCUGGACAGUAACUGACGCUGAGGUACGAAAGUGUGGGGAGCAAACAGGAUUAGAUACCCUGGUAGUCCACACCGUAAACGAUGGAUGCUAGGUGUCGGGUGGCAACAUUCGGUGCCGAAGUCAACGCAUUAAGCAUCCCGCCUGG
Molecule: ribosomal RNA, 800 nt
Filed under: bacterium CanalPD23F
Lineage: Bacteria
Description: bacterial SSU rRNA
Rfam family: Bacterial small subunit ribosomal RNA
Source: RNAcentral